UGACGCAGCAACGCGUGUGAGGGAUGAAGGCUUUCGGGUCGUAAACCUCUGUCGGAAGGGAAGAACGGGCAUUGGUCUAAUAGGCCUUUGUUUUGACGGUACCUUUAGAGGAAGCACCGGCUAACUCCGUGCCAGCAGCCGCGGUAAUACGGAGGGUGCAAGCGUUAUUCGGAAUUACUGGGCGUAAAGCGCACGUAGGCGGCCUUGUAAGUCAGGGGUGAAAUCCCACGGCUCAACCGUGGAACUGCCUUUGAAACUGCAGGGCUUGAAUCCUGGAGAGGGUGGCGGAAUUCCUGGUGUAGGAGUGAAAUCCGUAGAUAUCAGGAGGAACACCGGUGGCGAAGGCGGCCACCUGGACAGGUAUUGACGCUGAGGUGCGAAAGUGUGGGGAGCAAACAGGAUUAGAUACCCUGGUAGUCCACACCGUAAACGAUGGAUACUAGGUGUCGGGGACUUGAUCUUCGGUGCCGUAGCUAACGCGUUAAGUAACCCGCCUGGGGAGUACGGUCGCAAGGCUGAAACUCAAAGAA
This 530-nucleotide ribosomal RNA is filed under the name Desulfomicrobium apsheronum. Its description in RNAcentral is "bacterial SSU rRNA". It matches the Rfam family "Bacterial small subunit ribosomal RNA", at positions 384 to 908 of the family's 1533-position model. The record is from RNAcentral. Lineage: Bacteria; Pseudomonadati; Thermodesulfobacteriota; Desulfovibrionia; Desulfovibrionales; Desulfomicrobiaceae.